This 314-nucleotide long non-coding RNA is filed under the name Hordeum vulgare. RNAcentral describes it as "long non-coding RNA (HVUL_LNC013149)". Lineage: Eukaryota; Viridiplantae; Streptophyta; Magnoliopsida; Poales; Poaceae. The record is from RNAcentral.
CAGGAUGUUACUUUCGAAGGGGGCAUUGACUAUGCAUACGGAGAAACAAAACCCUAAUUCGAUCUCUUGCUUGGACCGAUGUGGAGUGGAGUGGUAUUAGAUUCGAUCUCUUGGAUUAUGUGGAGCAGUGUUAGUUUAAUCUUGUCUUGCUGUCGGUUAGAGGAUAGGGAUGGCCCCAGAUAGAUUUAGACAUAUGCACACAUAAUCGUGGAUAGAGAGAGAGGGGGGGUCACUGUUACAGAGAAACAUUGAGGGCUUCUUUGGUUCCAGGAGGUUCAUAGGAACUUGGAGGACUCCACUCCUUGGGAAUCAUA